RNAcentral lists this ribosomal RNA (1377 nucleotides) under Bacillus safensis. Its description in RNAcentral is "partial 23S ribosomal RNA". It matches the Rfam family "Bacterial large subunit ribosomal RNA", at positions 1552 to 2925 of the family's 2925-position model. Lineage: Bacteria; Bacillati; Bacillota; Bacilli; Caryophanales; Bacillaceae. The record is from RNAcentral.
AAGGCUGAGCUGUGAUGGCGAGCGAAAUUUAGUAGCGAAGUUCCUGAUUCCACACUGCCAAGAAAAGCCUCUAGCGAGGUGAGAGGUGCCCGUACCGCAAACCGACACAGGUAGGCGAGGAGAGAAUCCUAAGGUGAUCGAGAGAACUCUCGUUAAGGAACUCGGCAAAAUGACCCCGUAACUUCGGGAGAAGGGGUGCUUCUUAGGGUGUUAAAGCCCCGAGAAGCCGCAGUGAAUAGGCCCAGGCGACUGUUUAGCAAAAACACAGGUCUCUGCGAAGCCGUAAGGCGAAGUAUAGGGGCUGACGCCUGCCCGGUGCUGGAAGGUUAAGAGGAGCGCUUAGCGUAAGCGAAGGUGCGAAUUGAAGCCCCAGUAAACGGCGGCCGUAACUAUAACGGUCCUAAGGUAGCGAAAUUCCUUGUCGGGUAAGUUCCGACCCGCACGAAAGGCGCAACGAUCUGGGCACUGUCUCAACGAGAGACUCGGUGAAAUUAUAGUACCUGUGAAGAUGCAGGUUACCCGCGACAGGACGGAAAGACCCCGUGGAGCUUUACUGCAGCCUGAUAUUGAAUGUUGGUACAGCUUGUACAGGAUAGGUAGGAGCCUUGGAAACCGGAGCGCUAGCUUCGGUGGAGGCAUCGGUGGGAUACUACCCUGGCUGUAUUGACCUUCUAACCCGCUGCCCUUAUCGGGCAGGGAGACAGUGUCAGGUGGGCAGUUUGACUGGGGCGGUCGCCUCCUAAAAUGUAACGGAGGCGCCCAAAGGUUCCCUCAGAAUGGUUGGAAAUCAUUCGCAGAGUGUAAAGGCACAAGGGAGCUUGACUGCGAGACCUACAAGUCGAGCAGGGACGAAAGUCGGGCUUAGUGAUCCGGUGGUUCCGCAUGGAAGGGCCAUCGCUCAACGGAUAAAAGCUACCCCGGGGAUAACAGGCUUAUCUCCCCCAAGAGUCCACAUCGACGGGGAGGUUUGGCACCUCGAUGUCGGCUCAUCGCAUCCUGGGGCUGUAGUCGGUCCCAAGGGUUGGGCUGUUCGCCCAUUAAAGCGGUACGCGAGCUGGGUUCAGAACGUCGUGAGACAGUUCGGUCCCUAUCCGUCGCGGGCGCAGGAAAUUUGAGAGGAGCUGUCCUUAGUACGAGAGGACCGGGAUGGACGCACCGCUGGUGUACCAGUUGUUCUGCCAAGGGCAUCGCUGGGUAGCUAUGUGCGGACGGGAUAAGUGCUGAAAGCAUCUAAGCAUGAAGCCCCCCUCAAGAUGAGAUUUCCCAUUCCGCAAGGAAGUAAGAUCCCUGAAAGAUGAUCAGGUUGAUAGGUCUGAGGUGGAAGCGUGGUGACACGUGGAGCUGACAGAUACUAAUAGAUCGAGGACUUAACCUAUA